UACGUAGGGUGCAAGCGUUGUCCGGAAUUAUUGGGCGUAAAGAGCUCGUAGGCGGUGUGUCGCGUCGGCCGUGAAAACCUGGGGCUCAACUCUGGGCGUGCGGUCGAUACGGGCAUCACUUGAGUUCGGCAGGGGAGACUGGAAUUCCUGGUGUAGCGGUGAAAUGCGCAGAUAUCAGGAGGAGCACCGGUGGCGAAGGCGGGUCUCUGGGCCGAUACUGACGCUGCGGAGCGAAAGCAUGGGUAGCGAACAGG
Molecule: ribosomal RNA, 254 nt
Filed under: uncultured bacterium
Lineage: Bacteria
Description: partial 16S ribosomal RNA
Rfam family: Bacterial small subunit ribosomal RNA
Source: RNAcentral